GAAAUGCGAUAAGUAAUGUGAAUUGCAGAAUUCAGUGAAUCAUCGAAUCUUUGAACGCACAUUGCGCCCCUUGGUAUUCCAUGGGGCAUGCCUGUUCGAGCGUCAUUUGUACCUUCAAGCUUUGCUUGGUGUUGGGUGUUUGUCUCGCCUCUGCGCGCAGACUCGCCUCAAAACAAUUGGCAGCCGGCGUAUUGAUUUCGGAGCGCAGUACAUCUCGCGCUUUGCACUCAUAACGACGACGUCCAAAAAGUACAUUUUUUACACUCUUGACCUCGGAUCAGGUAGGGAUACCCGCUGAACUUAAGC
This 306-nucleotide unclassified non-coding RNA is filed under the name plant metagenome. RNAcentral describes it as "partial contains 5.8S ribosomal RNA, internal transcribed spacer 2, and large subunit ribosomal RNA". The stretch from base 1 to 105 matches the Rfam family "5.8S ribosomal RNA", at positions 50 to 154 of the family's 154-position model. The record is from RNAcentral.